AAAAAACACCCACGCCGAAAGACCAAGGGUUCCUGCGCAACGUUAAUCGACGCAGGGUUAGUCGGUUCCUAAGGCGAGGCUGAAAAGCGUAGUCGAUGGGAAACAGGUUAAUAUUCCUGUACUUCUGGUUACUGCGAUGGAGGGACGGAGAAGGCUAGGCCAGCUUGGCGUUGGUUGUCCAAGUUUAAGGUGGUAGGCUGAAAUCUUAGGUAAAUCCGGGGUUUCAAGGCCGAGAGCUGAUGACGAGUCGUCUUUUAGAUGACGAAGCGGUUGAUGCCAUGCUUCCAAGAAAAGCUUCUAAGCUUCAGGUAACCAGGAACCGUACCCCAAACCGACACAGGUGGUCGGGUAGAGAAUACCAAGGCGCUUGAGAGAACUCGGGUGAAGGAACUAGGCAAAAUGGCACCGUAACUUCGGGAGAAGGUGCGCCGGCUAGGGUGAAGGAUUUACUCCGUAAGCUCUGGCUGGUCGAAGAUACCAGGCCGCUGCGACUGUUUAUUAAAAACACAGCACUCUGCAAACACGAAAGUGGACGUAUAGGGUGUGACGCCUGCCCGGUGCCGGAAGGUUAAUUGAUGGGGUUAGCGCAAGCGAAGCUCUUGAUCGAAGCCCCGGUAAACGGCGGCCGUAACAAUAACGGUCCUAAGGUAGCGAAAUUCCUUGUCGGGUAAGUUCCGACCUGCACGAAUGGCGUAACGAUGGCGGCGCUGUCUCCACCCGAGACUCAGUGAAAUUGAAAUCGCUGUGAAGAUGCAGUGUAUCCGCGGCUAGACGGAAAGACCCCGUGAACCUUUACUGUAGCUUUGCACUGGACUUUGAGCCUGCUUGUGUAGGAUAGGUGGGAGGCUUUGAAGCGUGGACGCCAGUUCGCGUGGAGCCAUCCUUGAAAUACCACCCUGGCAUGCUUGAGGUUCUAACUCUGGUCCGUAAUCCGGAUCGAGGACAGUGUAUGGUGGGCAGUUUGACUGGGGCGGUCUCCUCCUAAAGAGUAACGGAGGAGUACGAAGGUGCGCUCAGACCGGUCGGAAAUCGGUCGCAGAGUAUAAAGGCAAAAGCGCGCUUGACUGCGAGACAGACACGUCGAGCAGGUACGAAAGUAGGUCUUAGUGAUCCGGUGGUUCUGUAUGGAAGGGCCAUCGCUCAACGGAUAAAAGGUACUCCGGGGAUAACAGGCUGAUACCGCCCAAGAGUUCAUAUCGACGGCGGUGUUUGGCACCUCGAUGUCGGCUCAUCACAUCCUGGGGCUGAAGCCGGUCCCAAGGGUAUGGCUGUUCGCCAUUUAAAGUGGUACGCGAGCUGGGUUUAGAACGUCGUGAGACAGUUCGGUCCCUAUCUGCCGUGGACGUUUGAGAUUUGAGAGGGGCUGCUCCUAGUACGAGAGGACCGGAGUGGACGAACCUCUGGUGUUCCGGUUGUCACGCCAGUGGCAUUGCCGGGUAGCUAUGUUCGGAAAAGAUAACCGCUGAAAGCAUCUAAGCGGGAAACUUGCCUCAAGAUGAGAUCUCACUGGGAACUUGAUUCCCCUGAAGGGCCGUCGAAGACUACGACGUUGAUAGGCUGGGUGUGUAAGCGUUGUGAGGCGUUGAGCUAACCAGUACUAAUUGCCCGUGAGGCUUGACCAA
RNAcentral lists this ribosomal RNA (1622 nucleotides) under metagenome. RNAcentral's name for it is "bacterial LSU rRNA". It matches the Rfam family "Bacterial large subunit ribosomal RNA", at positions 1323 to 2925 of the family's 2925-position model. The record is from RNAcentral.